AGUUUAGAUAGAGGAGCAGAAAACAAGAGUAUAACUAUAUUAGUCUGGCAGACAUUUAAAAUAGUUAGAAAGGGAAUUUUGCCGAAAUGGAAGAGAAUUAGCCAUUCUCUUUUGUUGGGAAUAUAGAGAAUAUCUAUAUUACUGUCAUUGAUUAUCAAUGGAGUGCUAUCUGUGGG
Fusobacterium varium ATCC 27725 is the source of this 176-nucleotide regulatory RNA element. It matches the Rfam family "Lysine riboswitch aptamer". Rfam says of the family: Riboswitches are metabolite binding domains within certain messenger RNAs that serve as precision sensors for their corresponding targets. The record is from Rfam. Lineage: Bacteria; Fusobacteriati; Fusobacteriota; Fusobacteriia; Fusobacteriales; Fusobacteriaceae.